Molecule: ribosomal RNA, 245 nt
Filed under: uncultured bacterium
Lineage: Bacteria
Description: partial 16S ribosomal RNA
Rfam family: Bacterial small subunit ribosomal RNA
Source: RNAcentral
UACGUAGGGUGCGAGCGUUAAUCGGAAUUACUGGGCGUAAAGCGUGCGCAGGCGGUUCGUUGUGUCUGGUGUGAAAGCCCCGGGCUUAACCUGGGAACUGCAUUGGAAACUGGCGAGCUGGAGUGUGGCAGAGGGGGGUGGAAUUCCGCGUGUAGCAGUGAAAUGCGUAGAGAUGCGGAGGAACACCGAUGGCGAAGGCAGCCCCCUGGGCCAACACUGACGCUCAGGCACGAAAGCGUGGGGAG